Molecule: long non-coding RNA, 276 nt
Filed under: Anser cygnoides (Swan goose)
Lineage: Eukaryota; Metazoa; Chordata; Aves; Anseriformes; Anatidae
Description: lncRNA (ENSACDG00005008208.1)
Source: RNAcentral
AUGUGUACUAUUUUGUUCAACCAUUUUAUGUCUCUGAUCCUUUGUUUUCCUUAUUCUCCCAGCAGCUCCUACUCUACUCUAUUCCAUCAGAAGCUGAAAGGUGUUGCAGCUUUGCCCUUCACCUAUUCUUUCCACUACACAGGGCUACCUGGAAAACCACUUCAAACACAAACAUUUUGUCUUCCAUCUGGCUCAGCUGCACAGAGCCUCACAAGAGUAACAGGACUGUUGAAGUUUGAUUUUUUUUCCUGUUUACAAACUGCAUUGCUUUUGUAA